AUUGAACGCUGGCAGGCUUAACACAUGCAAGUCGAGCGGAGCGAGGGUGCUUGCACCUUAGCUUAGCGGCGGACGGGUGAGUAAUGCUUAGGAAUCUGCCUAUUAGUGGGGGACAACAUUCCGAAAGGAAUGCUAAUACCGCAUACGCCCUACGGGGGAAAGCAGGGGAUCUUCGGACCUUGCGCUAAUAGAUGAGCCUAAGUCGGAUUAGCUAGUUGGUGGGGUAAUGGCCUACCAAGGCGACGAUCUGUAGCGGGUCUGAGAGGAUGAUCCGCCACACUGGGACUGAGACACGGCCCAGACUCCUACGGGAGGCAGCAGUGGGGAAUAUUGGACAAUGGGCGGAAGCCUGAUCCAGCCAUGCCGCGUGUGUGAAGAAGGCCUUUUGGUUGUAAAGCACUUUAAGCGAGGAGGAGGCUACUUAGAUUAAUACUCUGGGAUAGUGGACGCUACUCGCAGAAUAAGCACCGGCUAACUCUGUGCCAGCCGCCGCAGUAA
This 498-nucleotide ribosomal RNA is filed under the name uncultured bacterium. Its description in RNAcentral is "partial 16S ribosomal RNA". It matches the Rfam family "Bacterial small subunit ribosomal RNA", at positions 30 to 523 of the family's 1533-position model. The record is from RNAcentral.